AAUCAACGCUGGCGGCGUGCCUAACACAUGCAAGUCGAGCGCGAAAGUGGACUUCGGUCCACGAGUAGAGCGGCGAACGGGUGAGUAACGCGUGGGUGAUCUACCUUCGAGUGGGGAAUAACACUGGGAAACUGGUGCUAAUACCGCAUGACAUCCUCGGUUCGUUCCGAGGAUCAAAGCUGGGGACCGUAAGGCCUGGCGCUUGAAGAGGAGCCCGCGUCCGAUUAGCUAGUUGGCGGGGUAAUGGCCCACCAAGGCUUCUAUCGGUAGCCGGCCUGAGAGGGCGGACGGCCACACUGGGACUGAGACACGGCCCAGACUCCUACGGGAGGCAGCAGUGGGGAAUUUUUGUCAAUGGGGGAAACCCUGAACAAGCAACGCCGCGUGGAAGAUGAAGGCCCUCGGGUCGUAAACUCCUGUCGAUCGGGAAGAAUGCAUUCGGCCUAAUACGCCGUUGUGUUGACUGUACCGGUGGAGGAAGCCACGGCUAACUCUGUGCCAGCAGCCGCGGUAAGACAGAGGUGGCAAGCGUUGUUCGGAAUUACUGGGCGUAAAGGGCGCGCAGGCGGUUCGUCAAGUCCCGUGUGAAAUCCCCCGGCUCAACUGGGGAACUGCGCGGGAUACU
This 625-nucleotide ribosomal RNA is filed under the name uncultured bacterium. RNAcentral describes it as "bacterial SSU rRNA". It matches the Rfam family "Bacterial small subunit ribosomal RNA", at positions 28 to 634 of the family's 1533-position model. The record is from RNAcentral.